Molecule: ribosomal RNA, 1610 nt
Filed under: human oral metagenome
Description: bacterial LSU rRNA
Rfam family: Bacterial large subunit ribosomal RNA
Source: RNAcentral
CCACCGAAAGCCUAAGGGUUCCUGGGCAACGAUCGUCGACCCAGGGUAAGUCGGGGCCUAAUCCGAGGCGCAGACGCAUAGGAGAUGGACAACAGGUUGAAAUUCCUGUACCGACACCGUCCGACAGAGCGAGGGAGUGACACAAGAAGGAACGUUCGCAUGCGAAUGGAAGAGCAUGUCCAAGCCGGUAGGUGGCGUAUCAGGCAAAUCCGGUACGCCGAAAGCCGAGAGGUGAUGGGGAGGCUGUAGGGAUACAGAGGAAGGAACGGGGACUCAAUUGUCAAGAAAAGCUUCUAGCGAGGACGGUGGCGCCCGUACCGAAACCGACACAGGUAGGCAGGACGAGAAUUCUAAGGUGCGCGGGAAACCCCUCGUUAAGGAACUCGGCAAAAUGUAUCCGUAACUUCGGGAAAAGGAUAACCCAGAGUAGGUGAAGGAUAGAAACAUCCGGAGCCGAAAUGGGUGGCACAAGAGAGGCCCAAGCGACUGUUUAGCACAAACACAGGCGUCUGCGAAAGAGAAAUCUGAAGUAUAGAUGCUGACACCUGCCCGGUGCUGGAAGGUUAAGAGGACGUGUGAGCCGCAAGGCGAAGCAGAGAAUUGAAGCCCCAGUAAACGGCGGCCGUAACUAUAACGGUCCUAAGGUAGCGAAAUUCCUUGUCGGGUAAGUUCCGACCCGCACGAAAGGCGUAACGAUUUGGGCACUGUCUCAACGAGGGACCCGGUGAAAUUGAAAUACCUGUGAAGAUGCAGGUUACCCGCGACUGGACAGAAAGACCCCAUGGAGCUUUACUGCAACCUGAGAUGGGAUUUGGGUAUAAGACGUACAGGAUAGUUGGGAGGCGUGGAAGUGAGGACGGCAGUUUUCACGGAGCCGACGGUGGGAUACCAACCUUGUUGUACUGAAAUUCUAACGAGAGCCGUAACGAGGCUUCGGACAGUCUCAGGCGGGCAGUUUGACUGGGGCGGUCGCCUCCGAAAGAGCAACGGAGGCGCCCAAAGGUUCCCUCAGCGCGGACGGAAACCGCGCGAAGAGUGUAAAGGCAGAAGGGAGCUUGACUGCGAGACGGACAGGUCGAGCAGGGACGAAAGUCGGGCUUAGUGAUCCGGUGGUAGAGAGUGGAAUUGCCAUCGCUCAACGGAUAAAAGCUACCCUGGGGAUAACAGGCUAAUCUCUCCCAAGAGUCCAUAUCGACGGGGAGGUUUGGCACCUCGAUGUCGGCUCAUCACAUCCUGGGGCUGAAGUAGGUCCCAAGGGUUGGGCUGUUCGCCCAUUAAAGUGGUACGCGAGCUGGGUUCAGAACGUCGUGAGACAGUUCGGUCCCUAUCCAUCGCGGGCGCAAGAAACUUGAAAGGGGCUGCUCCUAGUACGAGAGGACCGGAGUGGACGAACCAAUGGUGUAUCGGUUAUGCCGCCAGGCGUACAGCCGAGUAGCUACGUUCGGGACGGAUAAACGCUGAAAGCAUCUAAGCGUGAACCCGGCCUAAAGAUGAGGUUUCUCCUUGCAAGACAAGUAAGGCCCCAUGAAGACGACAUGGUAGAUAGGCCGGGAGUGGAAGUGCAGCGAUGCAUGGAGCGGACCGGUACUAAUAGGCCGAGGACUUAACUU